RNAcentral lists this long non-coding RNA (204 nucleotides) under Prunus persica (peach). Its description in RNAcentral is "long non-coding RNA (PPER_LNC005985)". The record is from RNAcentral. Lineage: Eukaryota; Viridiplantae; Streptophyta; Magnoliopsida; Rosales; Rosaceae.
UAAUUAAUAAUUUCAAUUCUUAAUGUUUGCAUUAACCAAGGACAUUUUCUGGUAUUUUGAAUGUUUCACAAUUCUCUGCCUUUUGCUUUAUAUAUACUAGCCCCUUGACACAUGCUCACGCAUGUGCCAAUUGGUUUUCUUUUUCUUUUUUAUUUUAUUUUUAGAAUUAAUAAAAGAUAACGGGGUAGUUAUGUUCCAUAAAAG